CGCCUUGCCAGCCCGCUCAGAAACUUAAAGGAAUUGACGGGGGCCCGCACAAGCGGAGGAACAUGUGGUUUAAUUCGAUGAUACGCGAGGAACCUUACCUGGGCUAGAACGCAAUCGGAAUCAGGCCGAAAGGUCUGCGCCAGCGAUGGCCGGUUGCGAGGUGCUGCAUGGUUGUCGUCAGCUCGUGCCGUGAGGUGUCGGGUUAAGUCCCAUAACGAGCGCAACCCCUACUGCUAGUUGCCAGCGGGUCAUGCCGGGGACUCUAGCGGAACUGCCAGCGUAAGCUGCGAGGAAGGUGGGGAUGACGUCAAAUCAGCACGGCCCUUACGUCCAGGGCUACACACGUGUUACAAUGGCCAGUACAGAGGGCAGCCACCCCGCGAGGGGGCGCUAAUCCUAAAAGCUGGUCCCAGUUCGGAUCGGAGUCUGCAACCCGACUCCGUGAAGCUGGAUUCGCUAGUAAUCGCGCAUCAGCCACGGCGCGGUGAAUACGUUCCCGGGCCUU
This 505-nucleotide ribosomal RNA is filed under the name uncultured Rikenellaceae bacterium. RNAcentral describes it as "bacterial SSU rRNA". It matches the Rfam family "Bacterial small subunit ribosomal RNA", at positions 903 to 1382 of the family's 1533-position model. The record is from RNAcentral. Lineage: Bacteria; Pseudomonadati; Bacteroidota; Bacteroidia; Bacteroidales; Rikenellaceae.